RNAcentral lists this long non-coding RNA (454 nucleotides) under Mytilus galloprovincialis (Mediterranean mussel). Lineage: Eukaryota; Metazoa; Mollusca; Bivalvia; Mytilida; Mytilidae. The record is from RNAcentral.
GUAGAUUAAAUGUAUAUCUCCAUCUUGGAUUUUGAAAUAGUAGCACACAAUUGCAACCAGCCUAGUUCCUUGCCAAAAUUUGCAAAUUUUGAGAUGAAUAUACUUUAUUUCUCAUAAAACUACAAUAAUCAGUGGCGGAUCUAGAAAUUGUCAUAAGUGGGGGACCAUUGGCUGCCUAAGAGGGAGCUUGCUCCGGUCAUGCUUCAGUGAUUCCUUAUAUAAUCAACCAAUUUUUUUCUCAAAAGGGGGGCCCAGGCCCCCUGCCCCCCUAAAUCUGCCUCUGAUUAUAGAUAUAGAGAACAUACAUAAAUAUAACUAUAAGGUACAAUUUUUACAAGCAUGUGUGAACAAUACAAUGAAAUUAACUUGGAGGACUGACUUUCAGAUUUACAACUUUGAUAAAUUUACAUAGUUUUUCUAAUAUUACAAUAUUUGAUGAAUUAAACAGUUGAUC